RNAcentral lists this ribosomal RNA (387 nucleotides) under Triticum aestivum (bread wheat). Its description in RNAcentral is "partial small subunit ribosomal RNA". Lineage: Eukaryota; Viridiplantae; Streptophyta; Magnoliopsida; Poales; Poaceae. The record is from RNAcentral.
AUGGCAAUGAUCAGUCCUGCCGCCGCCACUGUCGUCGCUGCCAGGCCGGGGCAGGCUCUAGGGCUGCCUCAGCUUAGGGUGACCAGGGCCGAGAGGCUGAGGUGCGGCUGCUCCAAGGACCGCAAGGAGGCGGCAGCGGCGAGUCCGGCGGUCGUGAAGGGCGUGCCGCUGCUGGCCGCGGCGAGCGCAGCCGUUACGGCGGCGGCCCCGGCGCUGGCGCUGGUGGACGAGCGGAUGUCGACGGAGGGCACGGGGCUGAGCCUGGGGCUGAGCAACAACCUGCUGGGGUGGAUCCUGCUGGGCGUGUUCGGCCUCAUCUGGUCCCUCUACACCGUCUAUUCCUCCACCCUGGACGACGACGACGAGUCCGGCGGCCUCUCCCUCUGA